UAUAAUGUUAUACUAGAUAAGUUUAGGGACGGUUGUCAAAAUUUAUCCGCUAAUAUUACUGACACAACCACAUAAGUAAGCAAUGUUCUUCCAACGCAAAGAUUUCUAACAAUUUUUCUUCCAAUAUUAAUCAACAAUCCAUCAUCUGUUUUAAUGUUUUUAUCUACAGCCUUUGCAGUUGCACAAUUGAAGUUGUAACUAAAUGUUAGUGAUAUUUUUUAUUUAAAUAUGAUAUUGUCAUAAGAACUUGGCAAAAGAUGCAGAGGUGCACAAUUAGAAUUAACAUCAUCAGUUAUAACAGAAGGGCUAGGAAGACAAAAGUCACACAAG
This 330-nucleotide unclassified non-coding RNA is filed under the name Hevea brasiliensis (rubber tree). The record is from RNAcentral. Lineage: Eukaryota; Viridiplantae; Streptophyta; Magnoliopsida; Malpighiales; Euphorbiaceae.